AAGCUUCCUUAACCUCUGGAUUGCUCGAAAUCGAUCAGCAAAGCGCAGCCAGCCUGGCAAUUAGGAGCUCAUUACCAUAUAUGCAAAUAUGGCAAGCUCUCUCUCCGCAGCCGCGGAGGCGCGGGGAGAGAGAACCGCAGCAGCGUUUAGGGGUGGGAACUGGGCACGGCCCGGCCUGAGCGCAGGGGAUCCUCCUCCCGCCGAGGACCCUUCCCAAAAACGGCGCCGUGCCCCGGCAAUAACCCGGUAAUUCGGGGACACGCGGAGGGCCGGCCAGCCCCGGCCCGAGGGAGUGUUCUAAAGGCGCUGCCACGGAGCAUGGAAAGGGGCGUUAGUGCCGCAAAA
RNAcentral lists this long non-coding RNA (345 nucleotides) under Cyanistes caeruleus (blue tit). Its description in RNAcentral is "lncRNA (ENSCCEG00000006754.1)". The record is from RNAcentral. Lineage: Eukaryota; Metazoa; Chordata; Aves; Passeriformes; Paridae.